This 427-nucleotide ribosomal RNA is filed under the name uncultured bacterium. RNAcentral describes it as "partial 16S ribosomal RNA". It matches the Rfam family "Bacterial small subunit ribosomal RNA", at positions 355 to 774 of the family's 1533-position model. The record is from RNAcentral.
UGGGGAAUAUUGGACAAUGGGCGAAAGCCUGAUCCAGCCAUGCCGCGUGUGUGAAGAAGGUCUUCGGAUUGUAAAGCACUUUAAGUUGGGAGGAAGGGCAUUAACCUAAUACGUUAGUGUUUUGACGUUACCGACAGAAUAAGCACCGGAUAACUCUGUGCCAGCAGCCGCGGUAAUACAGAGGGUGCAAGCGUUAAUCGGAAUUACUGGGCGUAAAGCGCGCGUAGGUGGUUUGUUAAGUUGGAUGUGAAAUCCCCGGGCUCAACCUGGGAACUGCAUUCAAAACUGACUGACUAGAGUAUGGUAGAGGGUGGUGGAAUUUCCUGUGUAGCGGUGAAAUGCGUAGAUAUAGGAAGGAACACCAGUGGCGAAGGCGACCACCUGGACUAAUACUGACACUGAGGUGCGAAAGCGUGGGGAGCAAACA